UGCGUAGGCGGCUUUGUAAGUCAGUGGUGAAAUAUGGCAGCUCAACUGUCAGGGUGCCAUUGAUACUGCAGAGCUUGAGUACAGAUGAGGUAGGCGGAAUUGACGGUGUAGCGGUGAAAUGCUUAGAUAUCGUCAAGAACACCGAUAGCGAAGGCAGCUUACUGGGCUGUAACUGACGCUGAGGCACGAAAGUGUGGGGAUCAAACAGGAUUAGAUACCCUGGUAGUCCACACUGUAAACGUUGAUGACUCGCUGUUGGCGAUACACAGCCAGCGGCAGAGAGAAAUCGUUAAGUCAUCCACCUGGGGAGUACGCCGGCAACGGUGAA
This 328-nucleotide ribosomal RNA is filed under the name uncultured Bacteroidota bacterium. RNAcentral describes it as "bacterial SSU rRNA". It matches the Rfam family "Bacterial small subunit ribosomal RNA", at positions 568 to 898 of the family's 1533-position model. Lineage: Bacteria; Pseudomonadati; Bacteroidota. The record is from RNAcentral.